CUUGAGUCAAUGACUGGACUAACUUUCACAUGGGUCGACAGUUAACGUUUAAUGGAAUUACUGAAUGGAGAUCAAUGCUGUUUUCUUGUUAGCACAACUGUUAAGUAGAAGAUGUAACUUUUUUUUUACACUUGCGGUUCCAGUUAUUGCCUACUUUUUAUUUGUAUUAUUAUCAUUAAAAUGAAUGUUCGAUAUGAACACAGACAGGUACAGUACACCUAUACUCCUAGUUUCUGACAAGAGGAGAUAAUCAUCUUUUUCAACAAUUUCAUUAAACUAUAACGCUUUUGAGAUCAUAUGAAUAUUGAAGAAUGCUGUUUGUCAGUUUGAUAUGUUUUGUUUAGUGAGGUUGUGCUUGCUGAUGAUUAUAUAAAGAUGUAUUUCUUCAAUUUUGUGCAGAUCUGACAUUGAUAAUGGUCAGCAUCAGGAAUGUCCAGGAAAUGGCCAAUUGUGAUGUUCAAGAGCGAAGGGGGGUAUAAGAAUGGACAGGAAGUAAUUUGGCGAGGAAUUACUUUCUGUAAAAGCAGACGACUAAUGGCCUCAAGACAACAGUUGCAGCUGAGUCUCCUAUGGUACUGCAGAGCACAUUUAUAACAAUUAUUAAAUCAGUGGUCCAAAGCUGUGGGACAACACAUUAUUGUACUUGAUAAUGUAAUUUAUAAGCCGCUAUAAUUUAUACAAAUCAAAAUGUCUGGGUUUAGUGUGAUUCUUGUAAGAGCCAAUUUAUGCUUCAUCCGAAAAUGUUGUGGGAGGCGCCAUUGAGUUCCAUAGCGCAUCACCGUGCGCCUCAAAUUUUGUAACAAUACGGAGGGCUCUGUAUACUGUAGCUCUGCAUUGACAUGAAGUCCUGUAUAAUCAGAAACUCACUUCCUUGAAAACUUCCUUCACAACAAUUCUACGCUGCUCCGCAAAGCGCAAGAAGUAUGAAUGCCCUGACUUCUGCAGAGGACGUAAAUGCUGCACAGACAAUGCAGACAGCAGAUUGACCAUGUAGCCCUUUAAGAGGAAUGCAUUUGAUGUUGACCUCGCUCAAGCAUUUGAAAACCCCUCUGUUUCCUGUCUAUUUCCAGAGGCUGGUUUUCCUUGGGAAAGUAAACUGACCUUGCUGUUUAGAACUAGCCCCAUCCCAAUGUUCUGUCUGCCUGUCAAGGUUCAGAACAAAGUAUUCAGUUUAAAGAAUCCUCCAACAAUCAUGAUGAACACUGUUUCUAGAUUAUUAAAUUAGUGUAAAACUAAGUUUGGAUUUUCUUCAAUCACCUUCUGUGAUUAAUGCUUAGAGUUUUUCCCAAUUGUUUACACACUAAAAUUGGAACUUGAAACGCAAAUCACAGAAACCUGAAACUCAUGUACCAAAUCCCUAAACCAAAUCUGCAAAAUUGCAAGCACAAUUCCUGCUUUACACUCAGUUCUCAAUUUGCAAUUGCGCUGACAAGGUAAAAAUCUGUCAUUCUUGCCCUGAACAAGGCAGUUAACCCACUCUUUCCUGGUAGGCUGUCAUUGUAAAUAAGAAUUGGUUCUUAAUUAACAGACUUGCCUAGUUAAAUAAAAUAAUAUGCAAAAGUUCUCUACAUUAGGCACAAAUUUAAAAUAUAUUUAGUCCCUUUGGAAAGCAACGCCAAUCACAAUGCCAAACUCUAUGUAUCAAUUGGCAACACCCACUCCUCACAGGUGUAAACACUAGUUGCUGAAUUGUUCACUUAGAAAUCAGAGCUUUAGCACUUUAAACGGCCACAGAUUAGCGGAUCAGAAGGUGAAGAAGUUAGAGGACGAGGAUGAGGAAGGACAGUUGUCUCAGAUGAGAUCAGGGCCACAUUGGUUGACCAUGUGCUCAACCAGGGAUUGAGUAUGAGGGAGACUGGGCAGAGAGUUCAGCCCAACCUGAGCCGCUACAUGGUUGCAUCUAUCAUCUGUACAUUCAGAAAUGACAACCAAGAGUCUUGGAGCUGGAUGCCGUUGCAAUUCAGCACGUUUAUAUUUACAUUGAUGAGGCUGGCUUCAACCUAGCCAAAAGAAGGGGACGCAACAUUCAUAAUGGCCAAUAAUGUUCCUGGACAGUGUUGAGGGAAUAUCACCAUGUGCGCAGCCGUUAGCCAGCAAGGUGUCCUCCAUCACCAUGCCAACCUUGGUCCCUACAACAACCCCCCCCUUCUCAUCACAUUCCUGGACACACUACAUGGCAUCCUCAUUUCAGCGGAGCAGAGGGGUGGACCAGAGCAGCCCAGGUAUGUUGUCAUCUGAGACAACGUGAGUUUCCACCGGGCUGUUCUGGUCCGCAACUGGUUCAUUGACCACCCACAAUUUAUUGUUCUAUACCUCCCACCAUAUUCCCCAUUCCUAAAGCCAACUGAAGAGUUUUUCGGCAUGGCGACGGAAGGUGCAUGACCUCCAUCCCCUCGCACGCAUGCCUCUUUUCCAGGCAAUAGAGGAUGCAUGUGGUGAAGUUCCUGGGGGGCUUUCAGCGGCUGGAUCCGUCACUCCAGAAGAUUCUUUCCCCGCUGUUUAGCCAGGGAGAACAUUGGCUUGUGAUGUAGAUGAGGUGCUGUGGCUAGACCAAAAUAGGAGGCAGGAUGCAGCCUAAUGCAUUUUUUCCUUACAUUUUGCAUGUAUUUUUGUCUUUAGAGUUUUGAAAGAAACAGCCAGUCCUUUUUGUUGUACAGAAAACCCUUUAUUUUACUGAAUGCUUUUCCUGGAUUUCUGCUGUUGAGUAUGGAAAGUGUUACAUACAAAACACAAGUAUUCAAAAAUACUGCAUUUUAAUGACAAUGUUUUUGUUACUGUAUUGCAUUUAUGUAUAUUUUAGUAGGUAUACAUUACUGAACAAUCUUUUACAAAACAGGCUACAGUGUAACACUGAAAAUGCAAAAGGCAUAAACCUACUGAUGGGAUAUUCACAGUAGUGUUUUGAGCACAUAAGUGUGUUGGUUAGUAGACAGAUCUAUUCAUAUGACGCAUGUGUGUCAUUUUGAUGCAAAAAACAUUUUGGAAAGAGAAAAACGGUUUUGAAUGCAGUGUUUGCUUUUGCUAGAGCUUUGUAGAGUUUUGCAUUUUUUGGUUGUGUUUUGUGAAACUGGGCCAAAGAUUCAGCAAACGUGUAAACAAUUGUGGAAAACUGUUGCUAAGAAGCUAAUCUGACUGCCCUGCAGCACACCUUGCACUGGAUAUGACCUAAGUCUCCUCAUAGGUCAACAGACGCCUCUACUCUCUCCAUGGGUCAGACUCCACUCUAUCCAGCCCAUCUGAUCCAGUCUGACAGAAGACUUCAUUGAUUAUAUCAGAGUGAAUCAGCGACUAAGUUACUUGAGUGGUUUAGUGACACUUAUUUUUCCGCUGGUUAGUGGUUAACCUGUUGUUUGGAGAAGUCUAAUUGGCUCUGGUAGAGUGUGAUAAGGCUCUACUCCGAAUAUUCCCACUACUAGCGUACCACUUAGUUAGGAUGGAGCAGUGCAUUGGUAUGCUAGUGCAUUGGUAUGCUAGUGCAUUGGUAUGCUAGUGCAUUGGUAUGCUAGUGCAUUGGAAUGCUAGUGCAUUGGAAUGUAGACCUUGAUUGCGAAGUACAACAACUCUCUCUUGCCUUCCUCAUUAUUUUUCUCAGGAAAGUUGUGUAACAGUCCGACCAUGAAGGCUUGGGUCCACUGAAGUGUCUGGGGACAAUCCUUCAUCUGGACCUUACUAUGCUGUUAAUACAAAGAGGCC
Oncorhynchus tshawytscha (Chinook salmon) is the source of this 3693-nucleotide long non-coding RNA. Lineage: Eukaryota; Metazoa; Chordata; Actinopteri; Salmoniformes; Salmonidae. The record is from Ensembl.